CCCUUAGAUGUCCGGGGCUGCACGCGCGCUACACUGAAGGGAUCAGCGUGCUAAAACCAUUGUCGAAAGGCAUUGGUAAACCCAUUAAAAUCCUACGUGAUUGGGAUCGGGAAUUGCAAUUAUUUCCCUUGAACGAGGAAUUCCCAGUAAGUGUGGGUCAUAAGCUCGCGUUGAUCACGUCCCUGCCCUUUGUACACACCGCCCGUCGCUGCCCGGGACUGAGCCGUUUCGAGAAAAGCGGGGACUGCUGCUGUCGGGGCUUUCGGGCCUUGGCUUCGGUGGAAACCGCUUUAAUCGCANUNGCUUGANCCGGGCAAAANUCGUANCA
RNAcentral lists this ribosomal RNA (328 nucleotides) under uncultured eukaryote. Its description in RNAcentral is "partial 18S ribosomal RNA". It matches the Rfam family "Eukaryotic small subunit ribosomal RNA", at positions 1470 to 1796 of the family's 1831-position model. The record is from RNAcentral.